AGAACGUCAUGAUUAUCUCACAAAACGUGCAGUACGCAAAGUUGUUGAAAUCGUCAAGAAUCUGCUGAUAAAGCUCAAUGAAGAAACGAGAAGUACUGAAAUAGAUGGCUUUAAGCUCCAGCUCAAAUACCGCAGAGCAUUAAUAGGAAUAGCUAGAGUAGAUUCAUCUAUUUUCCAAAUGGCCUGGCUGCUGAUCCCGGAGAGAGGAGCCAUAUUUUCAACUUAGAUGUUACUAAUUUCUCUGAAUACUUGCAAGAUGUUUUGUUGGGAUAAUGUUUAUUUAUAAUUUAGUAUGGCUUUUGGAUCGGCCAACUUGUGUAGCUUGGCCUAGACUGUGUUAUCUGCAGUAACAUUACAGAUUUGGUUACUGUAGUAAUAGUAUGAAGACUAAAGACUUGAUUGAGACAGGUCCGGGAGCUAUGUCUCUGUGAUACUUUUUCUACCUUUUAAGUCUUAUGAAAGUGGGUGUAGGUGUCUUUUUAA
Molecule: long non-coding RNA, 483 nt
Organism: Papaver somniferum (opium poppy)
Lineage: Eukaryota; Viridiplantae; Streptophyta; Magnoliopsida; Ranunculales; Papaveraceae
Exons: 3
Source: RefSeq, a predicted model, not a curated record